CUUAGGCAUUAAAAAAUAUCACACCGAUGCCCUCUCUUUUUAUAGGGAUUCGCAGAGGCAUUUUUGGAACAUCUUUGGAAAAACUUGCAGGAUCCAAGUAAUCCUGCCAUCAUCAGGCAGGCUGCUGGAAAUUAUAUUGGAAGCUUUUUGGCAAGAGCUAAAUUUAUUUCUCUUAUUACUGUAAAACCAUGCCUAGAUCUUUUGGUUAACUGGCUGCACAUAUACCUUAAUAACCAGGAUUCGGGAACAAAGGCAUUCUGCGAUGUUGCUCUCCAUGGACCAUUUUACUCAGCCUGCCAAGCUGUGUUCUACACCUUUGUUUUUAGACACAAGCAGCUUUUGAGCGGAAACCUGAAAGAAGGUUUGCAGUAUCCUCAGAGUCUGAAUUUUGAGCGGAUAGUGAUGAGCCAGCUAAAUCCCCUGAAGAUUUGCCUGCCCUCAGUGGUUAACUUUUUUGCUGCAAUCACAA
RNAcentral lists this long non-coding RNA (469 nucleotides) under Homo sapiens (human). RNAcentral describes it as "non-protein coding lnc-NPIPB4-3:8". The record is from RNAcentral. Lineage: Eukaryota; Metazoa; Chordata; Mammalia; Primates; Hominidae.